UUCCUCACUUUGGCAGCACAUAUACUAAAAUUGGAAUGAUACAGAGAAGAUCAGCCUGGCCCCUGCACAAGGAUGACACACAAAUGUGUGAAGCAUUCCACAUUUUU
This 107-nucleotide small nuclear RNA is filed under the name Pteropus alecto (black flying fox). Lineage: Eukaryota; Metazoa; Chordata; Mammalia; Chiroptera; Pteropodidae. The record is from RNAcentral.